GUUCAAGCAGCCGCGGUAAUACAGAGGGGGCAAGCGUUGUUCGGAAUUACUGGGCGUAAAGGGCGCGUAGGCGGCCAACUAAGUCAGACGUGAAAUCCCCAGGCUCAACCUGGGAACUGCGUCUGAUACUGGAUGGCUCGAGUUCGGGAGAGGGAAGUGGAAUUCCAGGUGUAGCGGUGAAAUGCGUAGAUAUCUGGAGGAACACCGGUGGCGAAGGCGGCUUCCUGGACCGACACUGACGCUGAGGCGCGAAAGCCAGGGGAGCAAACGGGAUUAGAUACCCCCGUAGUCC
RNAcentral lists this ribosomal RNA (292 nucleotides) under uncultured bacterium. RNAcentral describes it as "partial 16S ribosomal RNA". It matches the Rfam family "Bacterial small subunit ribosomal RNA", at positions 505 to 796 of the family's 1533-position model. The record is from RNAcentral.